Molecule: ribosomal RNA, 327 nt
Filed under: uncultured eukaryote
Lineage: Eukaryota
Description: partial 18S ribosomal RNA
Rfam family: Eukaryotic small subunit ribosomal RNA
Source: RNAcentral
CCCUUAGAUGUUCUGGGCCGCACACGCGCUACACUGAAGGUGGCAGCGUGUACUCCUGGAUCGAAAGAUUUGGGUAACCCGCGAAUCUCCUUCGUGCUAGGGAUUGAGGUUUGCAAUUAUCCUUCAUGAACGAGGAAUUCCCAGUAAGUGCAAGUCAUAAGCUUGCGCUGACUACGUCCCUGCCCUUUGUACACACCGCCCGUCGCUACUACCGAUUGAAUGAUUUAGUGAGGACUUCGGACUGGGACCGAUGCGGCUUUCGGGCUGCGUCGGUAUUCUGGAAAGAUGUCCAAACUGUAUCAUUUAGAGGAAGUAAAAGUCGUAACA